This 163-nucleotide ribosomal RNA is filed under the name Staavia phylicoides. RNAcentral describes it as "5.8S ribosomal RNA". It matches the Rfam family "5.8S ribosomal RNA". Rfam says of the family: 5.8S ribosomal RNA (5.8S rRNA) is a component of the large subunit of the eukaryotic ribosome. It is transcribed by RNA polymerase I as part of the 45S precursor that also contains 18S and 28S rRNA. Functionally, it is thought that 5.8S rRNA may be involved in ribosome translocation. The record is from RNAcentral. Lineage: Eukaryota; Viridiplantae; Streptophyta; Magnoliopsida; Bruniales; Bruniaceae.
AAACGACUCUCGGCAACGGAUAUCUCGGCUCUCACAUCGAUGAAGAACGUAGCGAAAUGCGAUACUUGGUGUGAAUUGCAGAAUCCCGUGAACCAUCGAGUCUUUGAACGCAAGUUGCGCCCGAAGCCACUAGGUCGAGGGCACGUCUGCCUGGGCGUCACGC